AGAGUUUGAUUAUGGCUCAGGAUGAACGCUGGCGGCGUGCUUAACACAUGCAAGUCGAACGGAGUUUAGAUGAAGCUUGCAAUUCUAAACUAGUGGCGGACGGGUGAGUAACGCGUGGGUAACCUGCCUUAUACCGGGGGAUAACACUUAGAAAUAGGUGCUAAUACCGCAUAAGCGCACGGAGCUGCAUGGCUCAGUGUGAAAAACUCCGGUGGUAUAAGAUGGACCCGCGUCUGAUUAGCUAGUUGGUGAGGUAACGGCCCACCAAGGCGACGAUCAGUAGCCGGCCUGAGAGGGUGAACGGCCACAUUGGGACUGAGACACGGCCCAAACUCCUACGGGAGGCAGCAGUGGGGAAUAUUGGACAAUGGGGGAAACCCUGAUCCCAGCGACGCCGCGUGAGUGAAGAAGUAUUUCGGUAUGUAAAGCUCUAUCAGCAGGGAAGAUAAUGACGGUACCUGACUAAGAAGCCCCGGCUAACUACGUGCCAGCCGCAGC
RNAcentral lists this ribosomal RNA (498 nucleotides) under uncultured bacterium. RNAcentral's name for it is "bacterial SSU rRNA". It matches the Rfam family "Bacterial small subunit ribosomal RNA", at positions 8 to 518 of the family's 1533-position model. The record is from RNAcentral.